AAAGGAAGUUGACGGGGGCCCGCACAAGCGGUGGAGUAUGUGGUUUAAUUCGAUGCAACGCGAAGAACCUUACCUAGGUUUGACAUCCGGAAACCUUCCCGAAAAGGAAGGGUGCCCUUCGGGGAAUUCCGAGACAGGUGCUGCAUGGCUGUCGUCGGCUCGUGCCGUGAGGUGUUGGGUUAAGUCCCGCAACGAGCGCAACCCCUAUUGCCAGUUGCUACCAGGUAAUGCUGGGCACUCUGGUGAGACUGCCCCGGUUAACGGGGAGGAAGGUGGGGACGACGUCAAGUCAUCAUGGCCCUUACGCCUAGGGCUACACACGUACUACAAUGGCGCAUACAAAGGGCAGCGAUACCGCGAGGUGGAGCCAAUCCCAAAAAGUGCGUCCCAGUCUGGAUUGCAGUCUGCAACUCGACUGCAUGAAGUUGGAAUCGCUAGUAAUUCGAGAUCAGCAUGCUCGGGUGAAUGCGUUCCCGGGCCUU
RNAcentral lists this ribosomal RNA (482 nucleotides) under uncultured Desulfovibrio sp. Its description in RNAcentral is "bacterial SSU rRNA". It matches the Rfam family "Bacterial small subunit ribosomal RNA", at positions 903 to 1382 of the family's 1533-position model. Lineage: Bacteria; Pseudomonadati; Thermodesulfobacteriota; Desulfovibrionia; Desulfovibrionales; Desulfovibrionaceae. The record is from RNAcentral.